ACUUGAUGGUGUGGGCAUUUACGAAGUAGGUCCCUGAAGCGCUUCCAAGUCUCAAAGACAAGUUCCCCAUCCAUUUGUGUGAAACUUGUGAUUGCCCUUUGUAGCU
Small nucleolar RNA from Malania oleifera, 106 nucleotides. The record is from RefSeq and is a predicted model, not a curated record. Lineage: Eukaryota; Viridiplantae; Streptophyta; Magnoliopsida; Santalales; Ximeniaceae.